Molecule: unclassified non-coding RNA, 829 nt
Filed under: Hevea brasiliensis (rubber tree)
Lineage: Eukaryota; Viridiplantae; Streptophyta; Magnoliopsida; Malpighiales; Euphorbiaceae
Source: RNAcentral
AGGCAAGCAGCCCUGCAAUGGACGCCUAUAAGAACCAUUGUAAUUACUCAGUUUGGAAAUAUAAUUUCCUUUCAAAAGACAGAGAGAAAGAGAUCUAGAGAGAGAGAUGGAAAGAACAUCAUCUUCCUCUUCAAAGGAAGGAUACAACAGAGUAGCAUGGACUGCUCUUGAAGACAAAAUGCUCAUGGAUUACGUCUCCAUGCAUGGUGAAGGAAAAUGGGAUAGGGUUGCCAAAAAAAUAGGUCUAAGGAGAUGUGGAAAGUGCUGCAGGCUUCGUUGGUUGAAUUACCUGAAACCUGGAAUAAAGAGAGGGAACUUCUCAGAAGAUGAAGAAGAACUCAUUAUCAGGCUCCACAAGCUCUUAGGCAACAGAUGGUCUCUAAUAGCAGGAAGACUUCCAGGCAGAACAGAUAGCGAAAUAAAAAAUCACUGGAACGCUAAUUUAGCUAAGAAGGCGAAAGUGUUGCAAUUCACCUUGCCUAAACUUCACAAGCAAAAACAACCUCCACCUUCAUUCACAGCAGAAACCCAGAAACAAGAAAUACUCGACUAGUUAAUGUGGCAAUAUAACCAUUACCAUAUCAGCAAAUGUUACAAGCUACGAAACUGAAAAAUCACCAUUGCAGCUGUGUGGGGAGGAAGAAUUUCAAAUGAUUGUAAUGUGGAAGAUUUUUUCAAGAUUAUUCAUUCAGAAUACUUUGCAAACGCAAUGGUUCGAUUGUGUGAUUUUUUUUUUCUAUUUUUUUUUUAUCACAAUGUAACUUAGCCUAUAUAUAUAUAUAAUGGAGGAAAAUAAUGUAUUCAGUCUGGGCAUUUACACAAGCGUUUU